AGGCUAAUCCUGCAAGGUAUGUUUGACUUAAUAAAGGUGUAAAAAUACACCCAUUUAUUAUUUUAGGUGUAUUUUUACACCUUUAUUAAGUCAAACAUACCUUGCAGGACUAGCCU
This 116-nucleotide microRNA precursor is filed under the name Pelobates cultripes (western spadefoot toad). Lineage: Eukaryota; Metazoa; Chordata; Amphibia; Anura; Pelobatidae. The record is from RNAcentral.